Poecilia latipinna (sailfin molly) is the source of this 889-nucleotide long non-coding RNA. RefSeq lists it as uncharacterized. The record is from RefSeq and is a predicted model, not a curated record. Lineage: Eukaryota; Metazoa; Chordata; Actinopteri; Cyprinodontiformes; Poeciliidae. The transcript has 3 exons.
GUAAUUAUAUACAUCUUUUGAGCUGACUAAUUGAAAAAUCUCCAGGUUCCUCCUAAUUCGCUUUGAUCUUUGUUUGCCCAGCCUUCAUGCUUUGGGGAAGGGAUCAGCUCUAACUGAUUACGAUUCACCUGAAAGCGACUUUGUCAGGUGUUUGUUUCAGACAACACAAUGAAGCACGGGCCACUGAAGCACUCUGCCUGACAGGGCUGCAGGUGCUGUUCAUUUGAAGGACCAGUCAUUCACUAACAUUCCAGCUCAGAGGAAAACUGUGCAGAUACCCCAGAGAGGAAAUCCCCUCAGAGUCACAGCUGACGCUUCAGUGCAUCUCUUCACGCACUGACAUGACAGACUGGCAUCUCCGGUGUGUUUGCAUAUCUUCCAACUGCGAACAAUCUGGUCUAAAAAGUAGGUAGUCUGAAAUCCGACAAAGGGGUAAUUCUCCCCAGGGCAUGCACAAGGGAAAGUGGCAGUUUGCAUGUUUGCCUCGCUCCUAUGAAACGUUCCCCUCUGCAUGCAGACGUUUAUGGAGCUCGUAGGUCUGCCAGGGCCCACAGCUGUGCAGGAUAAUGAGGGAGAGCAUGCCACACAGGACAGUGGGGAGCAGCUUGUUAGCAUAGUCCUCUGCCAGAGAAGGUGCAGCCGGGUUUCUGUUGCACUUUAAUUGGAAGAUCCAGUCAGCUUGUUUGUCUCUACAGGACAGAAUGUCAGCCACUUUCAGGCUUUGCUGCAAACAACACACUGCCAUCCACAAAUUAACAUUGGGGGCAUGAAUGACUCUGUGCUGCCAACUUGGAUAAUGUUUGACAUUCAGCCAUCAAUUGAGAGGAAGUUUUUCGUCUGCUCCCUCUGAGAACUGUCCUCACAAUUAAUUAAAGUCUAGAAAAGAAAC